RNAcentral lists this ribosomal RNA (197 nucleotides) under uncultured bacterium. RNAcentral's name for it is "partial 16S ribosomal RNA". It matches the Rfam family "Bacterial small subunit ribosomal RNA", at positions 335 to 525 of the family's 1533-position model. The record is from RNAcentral.
ACUCCUACGGGAGGCAGCAGUGGGGAAUAUUGCGCAAUGGGGGAAACCCUGACGCAGCAACGCCGCGUGUGUGAUGAAGGCCUUCGGGUCGUAAAGCACUGUGAGGUGGAACGAGCCGCCGGGGGCUAAUACCCUUCGGCCCGACGGUACCACCAGAGGAAGCACCGGCUAACCCUGUGCCAGCAGCCGCGGUAAUA